RNAcentral lists this ribosomal RNA (495 nucleotides) under uncultured bacterium. RNAcentral's name for it is "partial 16S ribosomal RNA". It matches the Rfam family "Bacterial small subunit ribosomal RNA", at positions 28 to 507 of the family's 1533-position model. The record is from RNAcentral.
GACGAACGCUGGCGGCGUGCCUAAUACAUGCAAGUAGAACGCUGAAGGAGGAGCUUGCUUCUCUGGAUGAGUUGCGAACGGGUGAGUAACGCGUAGGUAACCUGCCUGGUAGUGGGGGAUAACUAUUGGAAACGAUAGCUAAUACCGCAUAAUAGCAGUUGUUGCAUGAUAACUGUUUGAAAGGUGCAAUUGCACCGCUACCAGAUGGACCUGCGUUGUAUUAGCUAGUUGGUGGGGUAACGGCUCACCAAGGCGACGAUACAUAGCCGACCUGAGAGGGUGAUCGGCCACACUGGGACUGGGACACGGCCCAGACUCCUACGGGAGGCAGCAGUAGGGAAUCUUGGGCAAGGGGCGGAAGUCUGUCCGAGCAACGCCGAGGGAGUGAAGAAGGUUUUCGGGUCGUAAAGCUCGGUUGUAAGGGAAGAACGAGUGUGAGAGUGGAAAGUUCACACUGUGACGGUAACUUACCAGAAAGGGACGGCUAACUACGUG